This 331-nucleotide unclassified non-coding RNA is filed under the name soil metagenome. RNAcentral describes it as "partial contains 5.8S ribosomal RNA, internal transcribed spacer 2, and large subunit ribosomal RNA". The stretch from base 1 to 120 matches the Rfam family "5.8S ribosomal RNA", at positions 35 to 154 of the family's 154-position model. The record is from RNAcentral.
GAUGAAGAACGCAGCGAAAUGCGAUAAGUAGUGUGAAUUGCAGAAUUCAGUGAAUCAUCGAAUCUUUGAACGCACAUUGCGCCCUUUGGUAUUCCUUAGGGCAUGCCUGUUCGAGCGUCAUUUAAACCUUCAAGCUCAGCUUGGUGUUGGGUGACUGUCCGCUUCACCGCGGACUCGCCUCAAAAUUAUUGGCGGCCGGUACAUUGGCUUCGAGCGCAGCAGAAACGCGAACUCGGGCCCGUCGUAUUGGCUCCCAGAAGCUAUCUUCACAAUUUUGACCUCGGAUCAGGUAGGGAUACCCGCUGAACUUAAGCAUAUCAAUAGCGGAGGA